Molecule: ribosomal RNA, 492 nt
Filed under: uncultured bacterium
Lineage: Bacteria
Description: partial 16S ribosomal RNA
Rfam family: Bacterial small subunit ribosomal RNA
Source: RNAcentral
AGUGAACGCUGGCGGUAGGCCUAACACAUGCAAGUCGAACGGCAGCACAGUAAGAGCUUGCUCUUACGGGUGGCGGGUGGCGGACGGGUGAGGAAUACAUCGGAAUCUACUUUUUCGUGGGGGAUAACGUAGGGAAACUUACGCUAAUACCGCAUACGACCUACGGGUGAAAGCAGGGGAUCUUCGGACCUUGCGCGAUUGAAUGAGCCGAUGUCGGAUUAGCUAGUUGGCGGGGUAAAGGCCCACCAAGGCGACGAUCCGUAGCUGGUCUGAGAGGAUAAUCAGCCACACUGGAACUGAGACACGGUCCAGACUCCUACGGGAGGCAGCAGUGGGGAAUAUUGGACAAUGGGCGCAAGCCUGAUCCAGCCAUACCGCGUGGGUGAAGAAGGCCUUCGGGUUGUAAAGCCCUUUUGUUGGGAAAGAAAAGCAGCAGGUUAAUACCCCGCUGUUCUGACGGUACCCAAAGAAUAAGCACCGGCUAACUUCGUG